This is a long non-coding RNA of Cydia fagiglandana, 3745 nucleotides long. RefSeq lists it as uncharacterized. NCBI's taxonomy places the organism in Eukaryota, Metazoa, Arthropoda, Insecta, Lepidoptera, Tortricidae. The record is from RefSeq and is a predicted model, not a curated record. The transcript is spliced from 2 exons.
AUUAUUAUUCAGAGCCCACUGUGUCCCACUGCUGGGCAAAGGCCUCCCCCCUCUUUCUCCACUCGUCUCUAUUUAGUGCAAUAUCUGGCCAGCCUCUCAAGAAGGAGUCCAAGUUAUCCCGCCAUCGCCGACGAGGCCUGCCGGCUCCCCGGUUAGACUCGUGGGGCUCCCACUCUGUGGUUAACUUGGCCCACAAGUCGUCCGGCAUUCGGCAGACAUGACCAGCCCAGUCCCAUUUUAACUUGGCCGCUUUCCGAGCUACGUCUAUUAUUCGAGUUUUAGUAUAAUUAUCAGAUGUUAAUUUUACUUAGGCUUGUAUAAUAGGAAGUUAUCGAGAUUUUCCACAAAAAGCGUAGAAAUUUUAAGUGAUUAAAACGAUAGACGUCAAUUACCCGUAAAAAAAGUAAUACUCACCAAUAAUACCAAUCAUCUCCAUUCAAUAACUGGAGUCGCCUCGCCUUUAAGAGCGUACCCCUCUGCCGAAAAACUUGCACAAUUGUGCAAACUUUUGUAUGGACUGACAUGGCUAUUUGUACGUUACGUACAAAUCAUGUAGAAAUAGCAAUACAUUUGACGUCCCCUCCCCCGCAGAAAUCGGCAGACUGUUUCGUAAAGAAAAUGACAGCGAUGACAUCUCCAGUUACUAAAUUCUCUAAACUUAUAAAAUAAUUACAAGCGACAGAGACGGAGCUGUACCUAGUUGAAAUUAAACAUGAAUUAGUACAUUUAUUCUUCUGCUCGCCAACAGAUAGCUGCUAUCGCUCAUGAUAAGUUGAGUGCAAUGUUGUCUGUAGACCGCGUUAGCGAUCAGCAAUAAUUACUCAACUUGGCAUAAUUGUUUAUAAAUACAUAUACAUAUAAAUGAAAUUUACUAAAAUUUAAGAUGUUUAAAUAAUUCUAUGUUUUAUAUAAUGGUUUUAACGUUGUACCUAUUGCUGACUGAGAUGAAGAUAUGAAUGAAAUAACUCGCAUAAAUAUCGUACAGUAUGCAUACAAAAUUGAAUUACAUUAUAAAAAAAACUACUCGAGUUUUGCUCAUACGUACCUACUGAUGUGUUGUUGGAAACUUACCAAUAUUGCGAAAUUUCCACAUGGUAAAAUUUCGGAUAUUCUCAUAUUUUUGUAUGAGAAUAAAAAUUUACCAUUCAAUGAAACUUUCCCUUGUUUUCUUAAAAAUGUUGCUAAAAUUUCUGCAAACUUUUCCAACUUUUAGGAAAUUACACAAUUACACAUCUGUAGGUACUCAACGACACACGGUAGACAACAUGGCGCCGUUUAUUCUGACCUUCACACCAAGUGAAAACAAAUUACACACAUUGUUUUACCGACAGUUUAUCAAGAUAAAUAUCUACAUUCUGAAAUGUUUCACUGUGGAUACGAUACAUUACCUUAAGGUCGUUUGUACUACGAGUGUACAGUACAGUACGUCUCUACACAUUCUUAUGAAGUAAAUUAGUAAUACCUAGGUACAUACUAUAAAUGUAUUAGGUUAGGGUAUAUAAUAUAUAGUUUAAUAUUGUAAGAAUAUUAUUUUUAAGAAAGAUUAUUACGAAAUGCUUAAAGUACAAGUAGAUCUCAUAAUAGAAAGUACUAUAUUGUGUUACAUAUUAUUUCCUUAAUACAAUGUACUAUUAAUUUAUUUUUAUAAAUACAUGCAGAUGCAAUGAAAAUUGGUGCGUGUUGCUUUCUAUAUACUUGUUAUUGCUCAUAAGAUGCGUCCAGAUUAGCAAAUAUGUACAUGUUUGCAAGCUCACAUAAGCACGUAAUCUACAGCAAACGUUAUUCGCAGUGCAUUGGUUUGAUCUGGACACACCUUUACUGUAGAUGGGAUAGUAAGAGAGUAAUAUAAAUAUUUGUAGAGAAGAGCAAAUAGACGCACGAAUUUUAUCCUUUGCUUAAAAGUGAAUAUAUUGUUUACGUGCCAAAUUCAUUAUAUUUUACAAGCAUUUAACUUGCAAUGUAUGUAUGUUCCCAUUAUUUAUUUUACGAUGUACCUACUUAUCACUUACUCGUUUACCUACGGCAGAAAAACAGGAAGAGGAACAACAGUAAUAAUACUGAAUUCUGUAAACGAGUUUGGGAAUUUAGGUAAUACUUCAACAAAUUUAUUUCUUAUGUAUAAUAUCUACAUCUACGUAGGUAUUAUUUACCAAGGAUGCUGCCAACAAUUGUGCAUGCCAUCUUAAUGAUCACUGAAACGAUAAAGCAAUUGGAUUAAUAUAUGGUAAAAUAUUAUUGUAAGGCAGCUUAACAAAAUCGGCCCUUGUUUUGAAAAUUGUCCUUAAGACGAAACAGGAGCUGAGAUUUGAAUAUUUUAGGUAUAUAUGCCUGUCUAGCUAACGGAAGCGGCUCCUAAAACUAGUGCGAUAAGGACAAGGCGAAAAAAACUACGUAAAAAUCUCAAAAAUCGAGGUUUCGUACUCGACUGUUUCCUCCUCCAAAACUUAAUCAAUCGUAACCAAAUUUGGAAAUCUAAAUGAUUAUGAAAUUAUCUGUGUCGGACCGUUUUGCUUUUUUAGCUAAUUGAUAUCAGUUUUGAAUACCACGCUUCUUAUUGAGGCAGGGCUCUAGCGCCUUAAAAACCAAAAAUAUCAAAAAAAGCAAAACGGCCCGACACAGAUAUUGAUCACUGCUCUGCUCUAGCUUUAAAACCCACGGAGGAAACAGUCGAGUACGUUUGUAUGGAGAAACGACCACUCCUGUUGGCUCUUAAAAUCUCGGCUAUUAGUUGUAAAGGUAUUCUUUGUGAUUCGAUAGCCGCACUAUUCUUCAGAUAAAUUCAACAUCUUGAUUCCUGGGGGCCGAUUUUUGAAUUUCGAUCGUUCGAUUUCGUCACUCGAAAAUCGGUGGAAAACGGCGAAAUGCUAAUUUUUGAAAUUCGAGCGAUAUAAAUUGGGAAUCUAGUGCAGUGGUUCUUAACCUUUUCAGUCCGGUCACCCCUAUGACUAACUAGGGAACCUGAUUUUACCCCUCCUCCCAUUGGUAAUAAAAAAUAAAACGUGUACGUUUGUUGUAUUGUUAUAUUAGGUUAGCCUAUUACCCCCGUAAAAUACCAGUUUUACCCCCACGGGGGUAAUUACCCCCAGGUUAAGAACCACUGAUCUAGAACCAAAAAAAAAAUUUUGUCAUUGUUCAAAAUCAAAAUACGCAAGCAUGAAAUCACAAACUAAUCCGCCUCUUUUAUGAGUUUAUGCUAUUUUAACUUUGUUACCUAAUAUAAGGUAACUCGGUUUUCCUAAGUAUAUCUUCUCAAUAUUCUCAUAGACCUGAUUUAGCUAAUGAUUGUUUCAUAGCAAACAUUUCUUUUGACAUUGCAUAUGGCUAAGUGUUUGUUCAGUUAUCUCUGUCUAGUCAAUUCACUCACUUGCUUUUAGAACCUGCACUUAGGUGAUGGGGGCUUGUUAGAUCUUAACCAUUGAGAAGUAAAAAUAACAUUUAUUUCGUAUAUUGAGUCACAUGGCAAAUUCACAGAUAAUGUGGGGUUUAGACUACAAGUGCACGCUGUGCUAACUGUUAGUGAUUCUAUUGCCUUGGCAUAAAUAUAAAUAAGUAGAUAAUAAGAGUAGGUGCAUGAAACUUCGUCUAUAUUAUACUAAACUAUUUUUUGGCGCGUACAGUGACGUGGUUUCUUUUAACACGUUUACUGGGAUAUAAUACAAUAGAACAAAUCUAAUACCUAUUAUUAUAUUAUUGCACGUAUGGUUUUUGUAACUAUUGAACUAAUUCCAAUAAAUUUAUUAUAUAA